RNAcentral lists this unclassified non-coding RNA (285 nucleotides) under Listeria monocytogenes. Its description in RNAcentral is "16S-23S ribosomal RNA intergenic spacer". Lineage: Bacteria; Bacillati; Bacillota; Bacilli; Caryophanales; Listeriaceae. The record is from RNAcentral.
UCUAAGGAAAAGGAAACCUGUGAGUUUUCGUUCUUCUCUAUUUGUUCAGUUUUGAGAGGUUAGUACUUCUCAGUAUGUUUGUUCUUUGAAAACUAGAUAAGAAAGUUAGUAAAGUUAGCAUAGAUAAUUUAUUAUUUAUGACACAAGUAACCGAGAAUCAUCUGAAAGUGAAUCUUUCAUCUGAUUGGAUGUAUCAUCGCUGAUACGGAAAAUCAGAAAAACAACCUUUACUUCGUAGAAGUAAAUUGGUUAAGUUAGAAAGGGCGCACGGUGGAUGCCUUGGCA